UGGGGAAUAUUGCACAAUGGGCGAAAGCCUGAUGCAGCGACGCCGCGUGAGGGAUGACGGCCUUCGGGUUGUAAACCUCUUUCAGCAGGGAAGAAGCGAAAGUGACGGUACCUGCAGAAGAAGCGCCGGCUAACUACGUGCCAGCAGCCGCGGUAAUACGUAGGGCGCAAGCGUUGUCCGGAAUUAUUGGGCGUAAAGAGCUCGUAGGCGGCUUGUCACGUCGGGUGUGAAGCCCGGGGCUUAACCCCGGGUCUGCAUUCGAUACGGGCUAGCUAGAGUGUGGUAGGGGAGAUCGGAAUUCCUGGUGUAGCGGUGAAAUGCGCAGAUAUCAGGAGGAACACCGGUGGCGAAGGCGGAUCUCUGGGCCAUUACUGACGCUGAGGAGCGAAAGCGUGGGGAGCGAACAGGAUUAGAUACCCUGGUAGUCCACGCCGUAAACGGUGGGAACUAGGUGUUGGCGACAUUCCACGUCGUCGGUGCCGCAGCUAACGCAUUA
This 496-nucleotide ribosomal RNA is filed under the name uncultured Actinomycetes bacterium. Its description in RNAcentral is "bacterial SSU rRNA". It matches the Rfam family "Bacterial small subunit ribosomal RNA", at positions 355 to 862 of the family's 1533-position model. The record is from RNAcentral. Lineage: Bacteria; Bacillati; Actinomycetota; Actinomycetes.